This 427-nucleotide ribosomal RNA is filed under the name uncultured Chlamydiae bacterium. RNAcentral's name for it is "bacterial SSU rRNA". It matches the Rfam family "Bacterial small subunit ribosomal RNA", at positions 958 to 1385 of the family's 1533-position model. The record is from RNAcentral. Lineage: Bacteria; Pseudomonadati; Chlamydiota; Chlamydiia.
AACGCGAAGAACCUUACCCAGACUUGACAUGCAGAUGACGAUACUAGAAAUAGUAAGUUCCUUCGGGACAUCUGCACAGGUGCUGCAUGGCUGUCGUCAGCUCGUGCCGUGAGGUGUUUGGUUAAGUCCAGCAACGAGCGCAACCCUUAUUACUAGUUGCCAACACGUAAAGGUGGGAACUCUAGUGAGACUGCCUGGGUUAACCAGGAGGAAGGUGAGGAUGACGUCAAGUCCGCAUGGCCCUUAUGUCUGGGGCUACACACGUGCUACAAUGGUAGGUACAGAAGGCAGCGAAUCCGCAAGGUGAAGCAAAUCCCCAAAACCUAUCCCAGUUCAGAUUGUAGUCUGCAACUCGACUACAUGAAGACGGAAUUGCUAGUAAUGACGAGUCAGCAACAUCGUCGUGAAUACGUUCCCGGGCCUUGUA